Vicia villosa (hairy vetch) is the source of this 1759-nucleotide RNA transcript. RefSeq lists it as uncharacterized. The record is from RefSeq and is a predicted model, not a curated record. The transcript is spliced from 5 exons. NCBI's taxonomy places the organism in Eukaryota, Viridiplantae, Streptophyta, Magnoliopsida, Fabales, Fabaceae.
UCCACUCCUAAAUCGUAUCUCCACUAUCAAUGGCGGUUAUGAAAUUGAAAUCUUCCGCCUCCAUCUUUCUAAACCACCCUUCUCACUAUUCCGCAACCCAUUUAGGUGAAUCGGUUUCUGAUUUUCAUUCUCGUGAUUUUGCUAUGGUUUUAGGUCCAAAUUCAGAGAGACUUCCAAGAAGGAGAAUCCUAACAACAAGUUUGUCGCUGUGGUUUGGUGACACUGCUAGUGUUCAAAUCCACCAAGGGCUCACUUAAGGUGUUAUGUGGUUAUGACAUAGUGGAAUUUAUGUGCGCUAUGGAGUUGGUGGUUUCUUAAGCAGCAUUUCGAUCAUUGUUGUGGAUCAUGUGACAGAAAACAAUGGAAAAAGCUAUGAAAUCAAAUAGACAUAAGCGAUAAUCUGAGAAAUCGGUUUACAAAUCGCUUUGAUAUUUGCAAGCGAUAAUCUGCUAUCAACAACAACCAAAUCUGAUUUUUGUGUAUUGUUUUAUCGUUGAAGGCCUCCAACUUAUGGAAGGUACUCGCCAAGGAGUGAUUGUCUUAAAUAUGGAGGAUGGUACACUACAUUUCCAAGCUGAUUUCUUGUGGAAUAGUGAGAUAUUUUAUUCUGCACCAGGGUUAUGGUAAGGCGUACUUCUCAGCAACCUCAGCUCAUGCACUGCAGAUGGCAAUGCCGUGGCUUGAGGUUUUUUAUUCUAUAAUAUUUUGUGCUUUUUAAUAAUAAGAUAAGAUUUUUAUCUUAUAUUAUAUAGGAUUUAGAGUUUGUGCAAUUUCACCCAACCGUUAUAUAUGGAGCAGGUUGCCAUAUAACAGAAGUUGAGGAUGCAUCUGAUCUGAUGAAAAGAUUGUCCGAUAAGAAUAGGAGUUUCAUGGAAAAGAAACUCAAUAAACUUCAAGAGAGAUGGAGUUAUUUGGACCUCAAAUAGUGGAGACUACGAGGUUGUCAUUUACUGUCGGCCGUAAUAUAUAUUGGUUUUAGAAAAUGUAUGUCGAAUCUUAUUAUCACUUCUGUUUCAUCAUACUGGUUUUUUCUUUUUGUUGAUUUGAGACAGGGUAAUAUUAUUUAGAAUUGAUUGAAGAAUAUGAGUUUAACUGGCUAUGUUUCUGGAAAAAAUUGAUGACAGGCAAUGGCUGAUAUUGAAAAGGCCAUUAUGGAAGAUUGGAAGCUUUAGAUAAACACUUAACAAAUAUAUUGUGUUAAGUGUUUAUGUUUUUUUUAAAAAAUACACGGUUAGUCUAAUGUAAAUUUGUAUUGACUUAACCCCAAGAUGGUUUUUUCAAAAAAAAAUCACACGGUUAGUCUAAUGUAAAUUUAUAUUCUUAAUCCCAAGAUGGUUUUUUUCUUUUAUCGUGCUAUGAUUACAUGCCGGGAAGUGAUUAGAGCAAAUAAAUCUAAUGUAAAUUUGUAUUGACUUAAUCCAAGAUGGUUUUUUAAAAAAAAAAAUCACACGGUUAGUCUAAUGUAAAUUUAUAUUCUUAAUCCCAAGAUGGUUUUUUUCCUCUAUCGUGCUAUGAUUACAUGCCUUUCCUCUAUCGUGCUAUGAUUACAUGCUGGGAGGAGAUUAGAGCAAAUAAAUCUCAUAUAAUGGGUCCUAUGAUUACAUGCUGGGAGGAGAUUAGAGCAAAUAAAUCUCAUAUAAUGGGUCCUAUUUCAUAAGGUCCUAGAGCAAAUAAAUCUCAUAUAAUGGUAUUUUUGGAAUAAUUUCAUAGGAUCCUAUUUAAAGAGUAAAACUUUAUUUUUGAAAUAAUUUCAACCGAU